AACCAGUCGCGUUUCUGCAGUCAUAGUGUUCGGUUGUGCUUUCCGCUUACUCUUAUCGCAGUUACCGUUAUUGUUUUGUAUACAUCGUUAGCGCGACUUAUUACUAAUUAUGUCGUCGUCUUCGGGCGGCGACUCUCGUGCGGGGAAAUCACCCGCCCCGAACAAAAUAAAACCUACGCUGUCUACCAAUCGUUCCUCGGAUUCCAAUUUCACUAAAAAAAAUGCACCCCACAGAUGGAAAAAAUGUGAAGACUUGGAUAAUUUGUCAUGUAGUUUACUUAGUAAUUUGGUUUAUGAGCUUAAGUGGAAUAUUAAAAGAAAAUCAUUCUGAAAAAGGUGCUCACUUCUUUUCCACGGCAAUUCAUUGUAUAGUUCUAAUGAUAGAGAUCAACAUUGUCCACAAGUUCAACAUAGAGUCCAAGAUUGUAGCUGAUCGUCGUAAUAGAAGUUUUGAGAUUUCAGAUGAUAUCUAAGCUAUCAGAGAAUUGAGCACCUCAAUCGACAUUUCAUCAUAUAUUAUGUUAAUUAUUUUUGGACUUUUUAUUUUUAAAAUAUACUAAAACAAAAUACAUUAUUGUAAAAUAAGGACAUUAUUAUUUAUUUUUUUUUUUUAUCUAUAAAUACUUUUAUUAGCGACUCCACAACAAAUAAAAAUAACGAGACUAAAUCA
Long non-coding RNA from Acyrthosiphon pisum (pea aphid), 670 nucleotides. RefSeq lists it as uncharacterized. The record is from RefSeq and is a predicted model, not a curated record. NCBI's taxonomy places the organism in Eukaryota, Metazoa, Arthropoda, Insecta, Hemiptera, Aphididae. The transcript has 3 exons.